GAAACGGCUACCACUUCUACGGAAGGCAGCAGGCACGCAAAUUACCCACUGGUCGAAGACCGAGGUAGUGACGAAAAAUAACGAUACCGGACUCAUCCGAGGCCCGGUAAUCGGAAUGAGUACACUUUAAAUCCUUUAACGAGGAACAAUUGGAGGGCAAGUCUGGUGCCAGCAGCCGCGGUAAUUCCAGCUCCAAUAGCGUAUAUUAAAGUUGUUGCGGUUAAAAAGCUCGUAGUUGGAUCUCGGCAGGCAGGGGGUGGUUCGCUCCUUAGCGCUACUGCCCCAUUUGCCUGUGUGAUUGGCAGAGGUUUCGGGGUGCCCUUUAUUGAGUGACCCGGAGCGCUGUCAGGUUUACUUUGAAAAAAUUAGAGUGCUCAAAGCAGGCUUUUCACGCUUGAAUAUUCGUGCAUGGAAUAAUAGAAUAGGAACUCGUUUCUAUUUUGUUGGUUUUCGGAAAUCGAGUUAAUGAUUAAUAGGGACAAUUGGGGGCAUUAGUAUUCAGACGACAGAGGUGAAAUUCUUGGACCGUCUGAAGACUAACUACUGCGAAAGCAUUUGCCAAGAGUGUUUUCAUUAAUCAAGAACGAAAGUUAGAGGUUCGAAGGCGAUCAGAUACCGCCCUAGUUCUAACCAUAAACGAUGCCAGCUAGCGAUCUGCCGAGUUUUUUUUGUAGGCUCCGCAGGAAGCUUUCGGGAAACCAAAGCUUUUGGGUUCCGGGGGAAGUAUGGUUGCAAAGCUGAAACUUAAAGGAAUUGACGGAAGGGCACCACCAGGAGUGGAGCCUGCGGCUUAAUUUGACUCAACACGGGAAAUCUCACCAGGCCCGGACACUGGAAGGAUUGACAGAUUGAGAGCUCUUUCUCGAUUCGGUGGGUGGUGGUGCAUGGCCGUUCUUAGUUGGUGGAGUGAUUUGUCUGGUUAAUUCCGAUAACGAACGAGACUCUGUCCUGCUAAAUAG
RNAcentral lists this ribosomal RNA (959 nucleotides) under marine metagenome. RNAcentral describes it as "SSU rRNA". It matches the Rfam family "Eukaryotic small subunit ribosomal RNA", at positions 400 to 1358 of the family's 1831-position model. The record is from RNAcentral.